CGGUUAUCAGGAGUUGUUUCCAAGACUCGAAUAUGAGCCUUAAAGAAGGAAGUAAAAAACAGGGCGAGAUUCUGGAUAAAUGCCUGCUCAUCAUUGGAACCGUUCGCAUAAGCAUCCGGAAUAUUUGUUGCAGGCGGGAGAAUAGUCUGCAACUGCACCAUGAAAAUAGUGUACAUCUGGGCAAAUUGAGUAUCAUAAAAAUCACCAAACUGGAGACUAG
RNAcentral lists this unclassified non-coding RNA (220 nucleotides) under Hevea brasiliensis (rubber tree). Lineage: Eukaryota; Viridiplantae; Streptophyta; Magnoliopsida; Malpighiales; Euphorbiaceae. The record is from RNAcentral.